Molecule: RNA transcript, 733 nt
Organism: Sus scrofa (pig)
Lineage: Eukaryota; Metazoa; Chordata; Mammalia; Artiodactyla; Suidae
Gene name: large ribosomal subunit protein uL6 pseudogene
Source: RefSeq, a predicted model, not a curated record
AAAGAAAAUUGUAGCUCUUUGCCGCAUCUACUGCGAGAAUGAAGACCAUUCUCAGCAAUCAGACUGUUGACAUUCCAGAAAAUGUCGACAUCACACUAAAAGGACGCACAGUCAUUGUGAAGGGCCCCAGAGGCACUCUGAGGAGGGACUUCAACCACAUCAAUGUAGAACUCAGUCUCCUUGGAAAGAAAAAGAAGAGGCUCCGGGUUGACAAAUGGUGGGGAAAUAGAAAGGAACUGGCAACUGUUCGCACCAUCUGUAGUCAUGUACAGAAUAUGAUCAAGGGUGUUACACUGGGCUUCCAUUACAAGAUGAGGUCUGUGUAUGCUCACUUCCCCAUCAACAUCGUUAUUCAGGAGAAUGGUUCUCUUGUUGAAAUCCGAAAUUUUUUGGGUGAAAAAUAUAUCCGCAGGGUUCGGAUGAGGCCAGGGGUUGCUUGUUCAGUAUCUCAAGCCCAGAAAGAUGAGCUGAUUUUAGAAGGAAAUGACAUUGAACUUGUAUCAAAUUCAGCUGCUUUGAUUCAGCAAGCCACAACUGUUAAGAACAAAGAUAUCAGAAAAUUUUUGGAUGGUAUCUAUGUUUCUGAAAAAGGAACAGUUCAGCAGGCUGAUGAGUAAGAUUUGAGUUGUCCCGGCUACAGAAACAACAAGAUGCCAGAUGAUUCUUCACAUUCAUUUGUGAUGUUUUACGAUACAAUAAAAAGUCUAUUGACUUAGAAAAAAAAAAAAAAAAA